UAGCUAGUUGGUGAGGUAACGGCUUACCAAGGCGACGAUCUGUAGCGGGUCUGAGAGGAUGAUCCGCCACACUGGAACUGAGACACGGUCCAGACUCCUACGGGAGGCAGCAGUGGGGAAUUUUGGACAAUGGGGGCAACCCUGAUCCAGCCAUGCCGCGUGAGUGAAGAAGGCCUUCGGGUUGUAAAGCUCUUUCGGCCGGGAAGAAAUCGCAUGGGCCAAUACCCUGUGUGGAUGACGGUACCGGAAUAAGAAGCACCGGCUAACUACGUGCCAGCAGCCGCGGUAAUACGUAGGGUGCGAGCGUUAAUCGGAAUUACUGGGCGUAAAGCGUGCGCAGGCGGUUUUGUAAGACAGGCGUGAAAUCCCCGGGCUCAACCUGGGAACUGCGUUUGUGACUGCAAGGCUAGAGUACGGCAGAGGGGGGUGGAAUUCCACGUGUAGCAGUGAAAUGCGUAGAGAUGUGGAGGAACACCAAUGGCGAAGGCAGCCCCCUGGGUCGAUACUGACGCUCAUGCACGAAAGCGUGGGUAGCAAACAGGAUUAGAUACCCUGGUAGUCCACGCCCUAAACUAUGUCAACUAGGUGUUGGGUGGGUAAAACCAUUUAGUACCGUAGCUAACGCGUGAAGUUGACCGCCCGGGGAGUACGGCCGCAAGGUUAAAACUCAAAGGAAUUGACGGGGACCCGCACAAGCGGUGGAUGAUGUGGAUUAAUUCGAUGCAACGCGAAAAACCUUACCUACCCUUGACAUGCCAGGAACUUGCCAGAGAUGGCUUGGUGCCCGAAAGGGAGCCUGGACACAGGUGCUGCAUGGCUGUCGUCAGCUCGUGUCGUGAGAUGUUGGGUUAAGUCCCGCAACGAGCGCAACCCUUGUCGUUAAUUGCCAUCAUUUAGUUGGGCACUUUAGCGAGACUGCCGGUGACAAACCGGAGGAAGGUGGGGAUGACGUCAAGUCCUCAUGGCCCUUAUGGGUAGGGCUUCACACGUCACACAAUGGUCGGUACAGAGGGUCGCCAAGCCGCGAGGUGGAGCCAAUCCCAGAAAGCCGAUCGUAGUCCGGAUUGCAGGCUGCAACUCGCCUGCAUGAAGUCGGAAUCGCUAGUAAUCGUGGAUCAGCAUGUCACGGUGAAUACGUUCCCGGGUCUUGUACACACCGCCCGUCACACCAUGGGAGCGGGUUCCGCCAGAAGUAGGUAGCCUAACCGCAAGGAGGGCGCUUACCACGGCGGGGUUCGUGACUGGGGUGAAGUCGGAACAAGGUAGCCGUAGGGGAACCUGCGGCUG
RNAcentral lists this ribosomal RNA (1287 nucleotides) under metagenome. RNAcentral's name for it is "bacterial SSU rRNA". It matches the Rfam family "Bacterial small subunit ribosomal RNA", at positions 242 to 1520 of the family's 1533-position model. The record is from RNAcentral.